UACGUAGGGUGCGAGCGUUACUCGGAAUUACUGGGCGUAAAGCGUGCGUAGGUGGUUUGUUAAGUCUGCUGUGAAAGCCCCGGGCUCAACCUGGGAAUGGCAGGGGAUACUGGCAAGCUAGAGUGCGGUAGAGGGUAGUGGAAUUCCCGGUGUAGCGGUGAAAUGCGUAGAGAUCGGGAGGAACACCAGUGGCGAAGGCGGCUCCCUGGACCAGCACUGACACUGAGGCGCGAAAGCGUGGGGAGCAAACAGG
RNAcentral lists this ribosomal RNA (253 nucleotides) under uncultured bacterium. RNAcentral's name for it is "partial 16S ribosomal RNA". It matches the Rfam family "Bacterial small subunit ribosomal RNA", at positions 524 to 776 of the family's 1533-position model. The record is from RNAcentral.